GGAUAGCUCAGUUGGCUAGAGUGUGGUGCUGAUAACGCCAAGGUUGCGGGUUUGAUCCCCCUAUGGGACA
RNAcentral lists this transfer RNA (70 nucleotides) under Podarcis lilfordi (Lilford's wall lizard). RNAcentral describes it as "tRNA.Ile". The stretch from base 3 to 62 matches the Rfam family "tRNA", at positions 7 to 64 of the family's 71-position model. Rfam says of the family: Transfer RNA (tRNA) molecules are approximately 80 nucleotides in length. Lineage: Eukaryota; Metazoa; Chordata; Lepidosauria; Squamata; Lacertidae. The record is from RNAcentral.